RNAcentral lists this ribosomal RNA (253 nucleotides) under uncultured bacterium. RNAcentral describes it as "partial 16S ribosomal RNA". It matches the Rfam family "Bacterial small subunit ribosomal RNA", at positions 524 to 776 of the family's 1533-position model. The record is from RNAcentral.
UACAGAGGUCCCAAGCGUUGUUCGGAUUCACUGGGCGUAAAGGGCGCGUAGGCGGUUCGCUAAGUUGGAUGUGAAAACUCUGGGCUCAACCCAGAGCCUGCAUCCAAAACUGGCGGGCUAGAGUUCUGGAGGGGGUAGCGGAAUUCCUGGUGUAGCGGUGAAAUGCGUAGAUAUCAGGAGGAACACCGGUGGCGAAGGCGGCUACCUGGACAGAAACUGACGCUGAGGCGCGAAAGCUAGGGGAGCAAACAGG